UACUUAUCCAGAAAGACUGAGGGACUGGGCCCUACGACGUCUUGGCAACCUAAGCGAAACAAGGUGCCAACUCCCAUUCGGCCGAAAAAAACGACCGAAGAAGAUAAGUA
This 110-nucleotide non-coding RNA is filed under the name Hymenobacter crusticola. Its description in RNAcentral is "Hymenobacter sp. MIMBbqt21 SAM riboswitch aptamer (S box leader)". It matches the Rfam family "SAM riboswitch aptamer (S box leader)". From Rfam's summary of the family: The SAM riboswitch is found upstream of a number of genes which code for proteins involved in methionine or cysteine biosynthesis in Gram-positive bacteria. RNAcentral also lists the same sequence under 1 other name. Lineage: Bacteria; Pseudomonadati; Bacteroidota; Cytophagia; Cytophagales; Hymenobacteraceae. The record is from Rfam by way of RNAcentral.